UCUCCUUCUUCGCCGUCAGGCAUUUUGUCUGCUUUAGAAGAGUGUUUUUUUCUAUAUUUCAAAUUUAAAUUACUCGUAAUUUUCUCCAUUGCAGAAUCUAAAUAAAAAAUGCAUGAUUAUUUUUACCUAAGAACUUUGGGACUGACAUUUUCACGUUUAGUGAAUUUAUUGAUAAACAACAUAAAUAUAUGUACACGUAAACAUCUUCAAAACAUUGAUAAAAAUGUCAAAAAUGACAAUAGAAAAUCCCUUUCUCUCAUAUGUCAUAUAGCCUCGGUCUUAGCACAGUCAGCGAACAUAAAAGUGAAUAAAUGUGUAAACAUGUGUGAGCAUCAACAAACCUUGAAAUAUCAAAACAUAUAUUUUAUUAUAAAAAUUUAAAAUAACCCUUAAGCGAAUCGAAUACAAGAAAAAGAGAAUUGUCAGAAAUAAUUGACAUUCAGAAACAACAAAGCUAUCAAUAGACCUAAACAAUAAGUGGUAGGUGACUGCAUAUUUGGAUUUGAAGAUUGUUUGUGAUAUGAUAAAUGAGAGCAAAACCACAUAGGUGGUAUGUGGAUAAAACUUAGUAUGGCUAAUUAUGGUGAUGCGAAAUGAAUAUGGUUUUAUUUUCCAGAUGAUAACUCAAAAACUGUUAGUUACCGUAAUAGUAACUAUUUACUUUAAUUUUUAAGUUCUCUAGAGCCAAUAAUACAAUGAAAGAGAUUUUCUAAUUUUUUUAGUUAUAACACUAUUUGAUCAUAGGUGUGAUGCCUAAUUCCUAGUUUUAACAAUUUAUCUGUCAAUGAUUUGCUGCUAAAAAGUUAUCAUCAGUUAUUCCUCUACUGGGUUAAUGAUAUAAUUCUACCAAAUCAGAUGCAACUGGUUUCCCCAGUUCUUAUUCAAGAAAUGGCCCUAUUUUUAGUGAACUGUAAAUCAGCGAUUUUAUAAUAUCGGUAAAAUACCGGUAUCAGUGAACCUGUCACACAUAUUACAGCGAACUUCUUGACAGUAAAUUAUACAACACAUUUAAAUUGCAACUAAUUUCUAAUUUAAAACUUAAUAUAACUAGUUCCAUAAUAUAUUUUGAGGAAGGAUUACAAAAAGUUUUCACACCUACAAUUGUAAACACCUUCGGUAAAGCUAGGGUCAAGCCAGCAAAUUUUUAUGAGCAAAUUCAUAUAAAUGUUAAACCAUGACAAUUAUAUUUUUGAAGAUUUUUUUAUUUGAUUGUAAAAAAAUGUUCCAAUAGUGUUACAAUUAUUCCAUCAGAGAUUACUUUUUUACUAUCAAUAGUUUCAUCUAAUAGGGAAUUUCUGAAACCAUUCAUACUUAACCCACUACUUACUAUUACUAUUCCAUUACUUAUACUAUCCGACAAAUGUUACAUUGUUUUUAGAGACUUAAGGUAAAUUAUACAGUUCAACAUAGUGAAUAAAUUGAAAAACUCAGGUCUGUAACGACUGAGUUGCCAGUGGAUCUACUAGGACGAAUGAGUUGGAAUCAAAUUUUUGAAAAAAUAAUAAUAUUUUUGUUCUAUUACGACUUAAUCACAACCAAGCAGAAAAAUUUCAAAGACCUUAAUAAGAAACAAAUCCACUUGAUCUACACCAAAAGAAAUCUUCAACAUUGAAUACGUCAUAGAAAGCUAUGAUGAUACGAAGGAUUCGAUGAAGAAACUGCUUACAAAAAUUAAAAUUGUCAACAAAAAUUCCACUUCAAUAUAACAAAAGUAACAGAACUAACAACUAAUUGUUACCCUUAUGUCACAAGAUAAUGUGGGAGUGAAAGAAAAUAAUAAAUUAUUGAUACAAAUGAUGCGAUGUCUUUUGAUAUACGAUUCUAUUGAAUUGGGGUUUGAUGUCACAUAGCAAUUAGUCAAAUGUCAAAACCCAAUGGAAAUCUUGAAUGUAGAAGAGCUGGAAUUGUAAUUCGUAGUUUUUCAAAGCGAAUUAAAAACAUUAAGUGUCUAUAGCCUGUGUACGGUGAUAAGAGAAAGUAGCAACACGUCAAUAUUUGUUGUGAAUAAUGAGAGGUUUAAAAACGUUUAAAAAUAUUCUGUCUUGUUUAAACUUUUCAUUUGUUAAAAUAAAUUUAUAUUACCUAAAGCCGACAUAAAUGCA
This is a long non-coding RNA of Diorhabda sublineata, 2102 nucleotides long. RefSeq lists it as uncharacterized. NCBI's taxonomy places the organism in Eukaryota, Metazoa, Arthropoda, Insecta, Coleoptera, Chrysomelidae. The transcript has 3 exons. The record is from RefSeq and is a predicted model, not a curated record.